RNAcentral lists this ribosomal RNA (253 nucleotides) under uncultured bacterium. Its description in RNAcentral is "partial 16S ribosomal RNA". It matches the Rfam family "Bacterial small subunit ribosomal RNA", at positions 524 to 776 of the family's 1533-position model. The record is from RNAcentral.
UACGAAGGGGGCUAGCGUUGUUCGGAAUUACUGGGCGUAAAGCGCACGCAGGCGGGUCGAUAAGUCAGGGGUGAAAUCCCGGGGCUCAACCUCGGAAUUGCCUUUGAUACUGUCGAUCUCGAGUCCGGGAGAGGUGAGUGGAAUUCCUAGUGUAGAGGUGAAAUUCGUAGAUAUUAGGAAGAACACCAGUGGCGAAGGCGGCCCACUGGUCCGGUACUGACGCUGAGGUGCGAAAGCGUGGGGAGCAAACAGG